This 402-nucleotide ribosomal RNA is filed under the name uncultured bacterium. Its description in RNAcentral is "bacterial SSU rRNA". It matches the Rfam family "Bacterial small subunit ribosomal RNA", at positions 355 to 774 of the family's 1533-position model. The record is from RNAcentral.
UAGGGAAUAUUGGUAAUGGGCGAAAGCCCGAUGCAGCAACGCCGCGUGGGCGAUGAAGGCCUUCGGGUCGUAAAGCCCUUUUUGAGGGGAUGAGGAAGGACAGUACCCUCAGAAUAAGCCUCGGCUAACUACGUGCCAGCAGCCGCGGUAAAACGUAGGAGGCGAGCGUUAUCCGGAUUUACUGGGCGUAAAGCGCGUGCAGGCGGAUUGGAGAGUUGGAUGUGAAAGCUCCCGGCUUAACUGGGAGAGGUCGUUCAAUACUUCCAGGCUUGAGUGCAGUAGAGGGAAGUGGAAUUCCGGGUGUAGUGGUGAAAUGCGUAGAUAUCCGGAGGAACACCAGUGGCGAAAGCGGCUUCCUGGACUGUAACUGACGCUCAGACGCGAAAGCUAGGGUAGCAAACG